This 255-nucleotide ribosomal RNA is filed under the name uncultured bacterium. RNAcentral describes it as "partial 16S ribosomal RNA". It matches the Rfam family "Bacterial small subunit ribosomal RNA", at positions 524 to 776 of the family's 1533-position model. The record is from RNAcentral.
UACAGAGGUCCCGAGCGUUGUUCGGAUUCACUGGGCGUAAAGGGUGCGUAGGUGGUGGGGUAAGUCGGAUGUGAAAGCUCGGAGCUCAACUCCGAAAUGGCAUUGGAAACUACCCUGCUGGAGGUUUGGAGGGGGGAGCUGGAAUGACUUGGUGUAGCAGUGAAAUGCGUAGAUAUCAAGUGGAACACCAGUGGCGAAGGCGAGUCCCUGGACAAAACCUGACACUGAGGCACGAAAGCUAGGGGAGCAAACAGG